This 531-nucleotide ribosomal RNA is filed under the name uncultured bacterium. RNAcentral's name for it is "partial 16S ribosomal RNA". It matches the Rfam family "Bacterial small subunit ribosomal RNA", at positions 355 to 874 of the family's 1533-position model. The record is from RNAcentral.
UGGGGAAUAUUGCACAAUGGGCGCAAGCCUGAUGCAGCCAUGCCGCGUGUGUGAAGAAGGCCUUCGGGUUGUAAAGCACUUUCAGCGAGGAGGAAGGUGGUGAGCUUAAUACGCUCAUCAAUUGACGUUACUCGCAGAAGAAGCACCGGCUAACUCCGUGCCAGCAGCCGCGGUAAUACGGAGGGUGCAAGCGUUAAUCGGAAUUACUGGGCGUAAAGCGCACGCAGGCGGUUUGUUAAGUCAGAUGUGAAAUCCCCGGGCUCAACCUGGGAACUGCAUUUGAAACUGGCAAGCUAGAGUCUCGUAGAGGGGGGUAGAAUUCCAGGUGUAGCGGUGAAAUGCGUAGAGAUCUGGAGGAAUACCGGUGGCGAAGGCGGCCCCCUGGACGAAGACUGACGCUCAGGUGCGAAAGGCGUGGGGCAGCAAACAGGAUUAGAUACCCUGGUAGUCCACGCUGUAAACGAUGUCGAUUUUGGAGGUUGUGCCCUUGAGGCGUGGCUUCCGGAGCUAACGCGUUAAAGUCGACCGCCU